This is a long non-coding RNA of Cercocebus atys (sooty mangabey), 556 nucleotides long. RefSeq lists it as uncharacterized. Lineage: Eukaryota; Metazoa; Chordata; Mammalia; Primates; Cercopithecidae. The record is from RefSeq and is a predicted model, not a curated record. The transcript has 6 exons.
UUUCUUUUUCUGCAUCCACUGCACUGUUAAGUGCUUCACCACAUUGUUCUCAUUUCUAUUAUUUCUGAAAAAAAUCUUCAGGAUUCUGCUUGUGGGAGUGGAUGACAUUCUUGCAGUGUUUACAGUCACAAAAUAAACAAGAUGUCUGUGGCAACACUCAGGCCAUUGAUGCCUUCCCUCCUAUGUAUCAAAUCACACAUUUGGACUUUGAACUCUCGCAUUUCAGAUGCUCAAUCUUGAGGUAUAGUAAAAGGGAGCAUGAACUUGAGAAAAUGCACUUUCAACACAAAGCAGUAAUAAUAUAAGGUCAAAUCAGAUUCUGCCUUGGAGAUAGAAAACUCUGAAGCAAGUUUUGUUUAUUCCAGAAUGUCAUAUAGUUGGUAUAAGAAAGAACACUAAUCAUUCUUAAGGAAGAAAAUUAACAACACCGCGAGUUAUAACACCUGGCUGAAAGUGAAGGAUCUCUGGGUAAUUAAAAAUCCUCUCUGCCCUGAUGUUUUAUAAAUUGGAAAAAAAAAAAAAAAAAAGUUGUUUUUUCAUCUCCAUUCCCUAGCAU